AAACAGGUCAUACUCUCUCCACAAUCUGCCUCCAUGGCUUCUACUUGCCACUUCCUCCUCUCAUUUCCUCCGCUUUCCAAGCCACCGUCUCUUCUCACUCCCAAAUUCUUCACGCGACACUCCUUUCCUCGCUCCAUUUCCACCGAUCGGCCCUCCAAAACCCGAUCCAACAGCUCACCGUCCUCCUCCACCGCAGCAGGUGUCGAAGAUGACCCGAAAAAAAACUCUCUGCCCAUGUCCAUCGAUAAUCUUCGCCGCUUCUUUGACCUCAAUGUAGGCAAAUGGCACGGCUCUUUCCACCAAUUUGAUGCCAAUGGUAAAUUGAUGCAAAAAGUGAGCACAAGGCUUUCUGCGAGCUCUUAUGGAGAAGAUGAACUCAUUAGUCUCAUUCAAACGUAAGUGUAGAUUAUUUGACUACUCUUAUUGUGUUUCAUGUUGACAUUGAAUGUUUUAUUUGUGUAUGGUGCAUAAUCUGAAAGCAAAAUUAGGGAAACUAAUGGGAGGGCCUUUUGAAGGAAGCAAAAGGGUAUGAUGAAUCAAGCAUCACGGCCUUCUAUGAUUGGCUUGUUGCACCAAAUCAGCAUACUGACUUGGUACAACGUAUUGUUUGAAUAAGUUUUUUCUGGUUUUCCAUGGAAAGUUUAUUAGUUUAACCAUGAUGAGAAACAUGUUAACUUGUUGAGCUUUUUACCAUUGCACUGCAGUUUAUAAUGUGAGCUUCAUAGUACACUAAUAAAAGUAUAAACUUGUUAUUAAGAAACCAUUUAUUGAGCUAAUGACGCAGUUGGUAUGCUCUUCCUGGAGUCAUUUCUAUCUUCUCAUCAAUUCCAGUGAAAUAACUAAGUGUUGUCUAGGUGUUUUUUACUGUAUGCAUCUCAUUGCUAUUGAACCCUUUGUGCUCCUAAUUUUAUUGUAUUUUGUAGGCUAUAUAUAAAACAACCACCAACAAGCAUUUCAAUCUCUGGAUAUGAUGAGGAGCCAGAAUGGGCAGAGUACAAGAUAAAGGAAACCAACAUGUUCACUGUGGAUAGGUAUCAACAGUUGGCAGAUUGGCUUUUUCCCCAAUGAGAGGGCUUUUGCCCUAAGAUACCAAACAGCUGGCAUGUUAGAAACUGUGUUAAGGCAAGGAGUACUGGGGGAAGAUGACACUGGAGAAGAAUCUCCUAGGUGAAUGCUUCUUUCCUCAACAGGCUCUCUAAUUGUGCAAAAGAUGGCACUUUAGUUUUUCCAGUCUUGAGCGGGGCUAAAUCUGCAUCUGUCAUACUAAGUGACUAAAAUUGAUGGGGAAUGUCAUAGAAAAUUUUGGUCUUGUGCUUGUUCUGUUAUUGCAAUUGAGGUGGGAUGAACCUUUAGAAAUGAACAACUAACCUCUAGAGCUGUUAUAAAGGCCAGGUGGCCUUGCAUGACUAGCUACAGUAGCUGGCUGUUGCUCACUAAGGGGAGGAUGAAUCGAAGAGCAUGCCAAUUUUCUAAAUGAUUUUUCCAAAUAAAUAUUCCCAUCUUCGUGCAAAAGUUAUUUUACUCAGCUUUGUCUGGACAAUCUUGUGUAACUAUUAUUUGUGAAAUCUGUAACUUUGUUCUUAUACAAAUAAUAAUCACUAUAUUUUGAGCUUUCUCUUAUUUUCUGAUGAAAUGUGGUUCACAAAUUAUAUUUCACAAGUUUUAAUUCCAUGUGAUUACUUGUUUAUUACAUUUUUUUACCAUGUAGAAAUCUUAAGCUUCCUUCUCGGCUGCCUUCUAUUGUAUGUGAGAACUGCCUAUAUUCACAAGAGAAAGAUAGACGAGCAAGAGCUUUUCAUAUCAUGGAUCCAAAAGGCGUUUUAGAAAUGCUUCUUAUCUUUCUUGAGGAUAGAGGAGACAGGGUCCUAUCUCAUCCUUCACUUGAAAAUAACAUUGAUAGCGUAAAUAGGAUCCUUCCAUUUCUUGGUCAGUGGAAAGGCCAUUCUAUAACCAAACGUAGCGGUGUUUAUGGAUCAACAAUUGCUGAAGCUGAUACGGUAGCUUUGCUUGAAAUGGAUGAUAAGGGUCAGCUGAUCCAGGUAUUGUUGCUCAAUUGCCUUAUUGAGAAAGGAAGUUGUGAACCAAAGGGAUUGGAACUGGAGAGUUUGAGAGGACAUGUGAAUGGUAAUGUGAUUGAUGCCAUUGAAACCUUAGCAAGAAUCUGGUGUACAUACAUAUUGAUACCAGCUAUGGGUGAUUAAACAUAUUCUUAUUAGCUAAGAAUUGUAUCCAUGAUGCAUGUACCAAGUGGAUUAUGAAAUACAAUUUAUGGAUUUACAUGCUUUUGAUAUUAAUUAUGGGCGGAAUCUAAAUCUCUUUCUCAUGAACAAAAAUUGUCAGGUUAUUACUUCAACAUCUGAUCAACAUGAUGUUAAAACUAAUAUGCACUGGACGGGUAACGCAGCAGACAACUUGGUUACAUUUGAUGGAGGAUAUCAGAUUACAUUAUUACCAGGAGGCAUGUACAUGGGAUGUCCUUCUGACAUUGCAAAAAGUGUUGCAGAAUCUAAGUCAUUUCAUCUGGAGUUUUGUUGGCUUGAGUCUCCUGGCAAGAGACAAAGACUGGUUAGAACUUACGAUGUAGAAGGCUUGGCUGUCUCAUCAACUUAUUUUUCUGAAACUAAGUUGUGAGUUUCCUGUUUCUGCUUAUCAUGAAAGUACUUUUUAGGUUUAAUAUGGAAGUUCAUUUCUGUGCCAAAUUGGUGUUUUAAAAUACUUGUAGCAGCGUAGCCGCAUGGUCAUUUUAUGGUUUUCUUUACAGAAUAGCGCAAAGAAAGACCAGUUGUGAUUUUCUCUGAGUACAGAAUAAAGCAAAGAAAAACCAGAGGUCUAUUGUUGUAGGGUGAACUGAGGCAUGUAUACUUUUAGUUGUAUUUUGGCAUAUUUCCUGGAAAGCCCAAGCAGGGUGUUGGGAUUUCCAUGGUUUUACAAAAGAGAAGCCUUGUUGAGCAAACCCUGGACAGUAAUCUGCUAUUUCUCCUAUUAAUGAUUCAGUGCGUGUUACUACAAGUAGUGAUUGGGACUAUACGAUUAAAUGUUUCCUUAUGUAAGAAUGAUUGCAUGUGUUGUUAAGGAGGGAUUAGAAAUGUACAACAGACAUGCUUAUUUCUUUUUAUUAAUAACGCUUUAUCAAUUUUAAUACUUUUAAUUAAUUUGAUAUGCAAAGGAAAUCUUCUCAAAUAUGUCAUUUUCAUGCUUAAAAUUGUAUUGCUCAAUUUUCAAAUUUGGUGGUGUAACUUUUGGCACCAUCCUUGUAUGUUCUUGUUCUUGACAUUGAAAAAUAGAAAAUUUGUAUUAGAGAUGGUAACUAUGUUAGUAAAAAAAGGAAAUUAAGGCUAUGUUUGUUUCGCAUAAAAU
This 3357-nucleotide unclassified non-coding RNA is filed under the name Hevea brasiliensis (rubber tree). The record is from RNAcentral. Lineage: Eukaryota; Viridiplantae; Streptophyta; Magnoliopsida; Malpighiales; Euphorbiaceae.